AGAAGAAGAAAAAAAAAAUAUCGUCCAGAUCGUUGGAACAUUUCGAAGGAAUAGGCUGGCAACAACCGUAAACGUCUGGCUCGGGCGCAAAUUUCGCGGGAUGAUUUACGAAGUAUGCGCGAGGCGAGAAGCGCGGAGAGAGAAAGAGAAUCGCGCGAGA
Molecule: long non-coding RNA, 160 nt
Organism: Apis florea (little honeybee)
Lineage: Eukaryota; Metazoa; Arthropoda; Insecta; Hymenoptera; Apidae
Source: RefSeq, a predicted model, not a curated record